Molecule: ribosomal RNA, 253 nt
Filed under: uncultured bacterium
Lineage: Bacteria
Description: partial 16S ribosomal RNA
Rfam family: Bacterial small subunit ribosomal RNA
Source: RNAcentral
GACGUAGGGCGCGAGCGUUGUCCGGAUUUAUUGGGCGUAAAGAGCUCGUAGGCGGCUUGUCGCGUCGUCCGUGAAAACCCACAGCUCAACUGUGGGCUUGCGGUCGAUACGGGCAGGCUAGAGUUCGGUAGGGGAGACUGGAAUUCCUGGUGUAGCGGUGAAAUGCGCAGAUAUCAGGAGGAACACCGGUGGCGAAGGCGGGUCUCUGGGCCGAUACUGACGCUGAGACGCGAAAGCGUGGGGAGCAAACAGG